RNAcentral lists this transfer RNA (67 nucleotides) under zebrafish metagenome. It matches the Rfam family "tRNA". Rfam says of the family: Transfer RNA (tRNA) molecules are approximately 80 nucleotides in length. Their secondary structure includes four short double-helical elements and three loops (D, anti-codon, and T loops). The record is from RNAcentral.
UGGUGUAGCUCAGUUGGUAGAGCAGCUGAUUUGUAAUCAGCAGGUCGCGGGUUCGAAUCCAGUCACC